GAUGAACGCUGGCGGCGUGCCUAAUACAUGCAAGUCGAGCGAACGGACGAGAAGCUUGCUUCUCUGAUGUUAGCGGCGGACGGGUGAGUAACACGUGGAUAACCUACCUAUAAGACUGGGAUAACUUCGGGAAACCGGAGCUAAUACCGGAUAAUAUUUUGAACCGCAUGGUUCAAAAGUGAAAGACGGUCUUGCUGUCACUUAUAGAUGGAUCCGCGCUGCAUUAGCUAGUUGGUAAGGUAACGGCUUACCAAGGCAACGAUGCAUAGCCGACCUGAGAGGGUGAUCGGCCACACUGGAACUGAGACACGGUCCAGACUCCUACGGGAGGCAGCAGUAGGGAAUCUUCCGCAAUGGGCGAAAGCCUGACGGAGCAACGCCGCGUGAGUGAUGAAGGUCUUCGGAUCGUAAAACUCUGUUAUUAGGGAAGAACAUAUGUGUAAGUAACUGCGCACAUCUUGACGGUACCUAAUCAGAAAGCCACGGCUAACUACGUGCCAGCAGCCGCGGUAAUACGUAGGUGGCAAGCGUUAUCCGGAAUUAUUGGGCGUAAAGCGCGCGUAGGCGGUUUUUUAAGUCUGAUGUGAAAGCCCACGGCUCAACCGUGGAGGGUCAUUGGAAACUGGAAAACUUGAGUGCAGAAGAGGAAAGUGGAAUUCCAUGUGUAGCGGUGAAAUGCGCAGAGAUAUGGAGGAACACCAGUGGCGAAGGCGACUUUCUGGUCUGUAACUGACGCUGAUGUGCGAAAGCGUGGGGAUCAAACAGGAUUAGAUACCCUGGUAGUCCACGCCGUAAACGAUGAGUGCUAAGUGUUAGGGGGUUUCCGCCCCUUAGUGCUGCAGCUAACGCAUUAAGCACUCCGCCUGGGGAGUACGACCGCAAGGUUGAAACUCAAAGGAAUUGACGGGGACCCGCACAAGCGGUGGAGCAUGUGGUUUAAUUCGAAGCAACGCGAAGAACCUUACCAAAUCUUGACAUCCUUUGACAACUCUAGAGAUAGAGCUUUCCCCUUCGGGGGACAAAGUGACAGGUGGUGCAUGGUUGUCGUCAGCUCGUGUCGUGAGAUGUUGGGUUAAGUCCCGCAACGAGCGCAACCCUUAAGCUUAGUUGCCAUCAUUAAGUUGGGCACUCUAAGUUGACUGCCGGUGACAAACCGGAGGAAGGUGGGGAUGACGUCAAAUCAUCAUGCCCCUUAUGAUUUGGGCUACACACGUGCUACAAUGGACAAUACAAAGGGCAGCGAAACCGUGAGGUCAAGCAAAUCCCAUAAAGUUGUUCUCAGUUCGGAUUGUAGUCUGCAACUCGACUACAUGAAGCUGGAAUCGCUAGUAAUCGUAGAUCAGCAUGCUACGGUGAAUACGUUCCCGGGUCU
Molecule: ribosomal RNA, 1372 nt
Filed under: uncultured bacterium
Lineage: Bacteria
Description: bacterial SSU rRNA
Rfam family: Bacterial small subunit ribosomal RNA
Source: RNAcentral